UAUAUGUAUAUGGCGAAACGCCGCAAAGUCGGAAAGGUGUGGGGAAACUGCCUCGAGUCAGGUGGUAGUUGACAUCGCUUAGUCAAGGACAGAGUGGAGCUGACGAGCUCUGAGGGUGAGGUGCAGCGGGAUGUUGAUGUAUCCGUGGGCAACUUGGCGAAACACUCAAGGCCCACGUAUCCUGUAGCUGAAGGUGUGUUCAUUUCAACGCUAAAAAAUCAUGCCUGUAGGUCAAAAAGGUUCUGGCCAGUUGAAGACCCUGAGCAUGGACGGAAAUCAGGUGUUAAUCCCAAAAUUGCUGCUGUGGCAUUCCUGUCAGUCAUGGCAUCUCAGGAGCUGCAAGCCCAUCGGGGCGAAGACAGACAGGAGAGCCUCAGGAAUGAUUGCAGCCGGACUGCUUUUAUUGCCUUUAUCUCCAGGACAGAGGAGAGGGUGGUCAUGGCCAUAGCUGGGUAUGGUCACUGGUCUUGGUGGUAACCAUUGCUGUGAUGAUUUCCCUGGAGCUGCUGCAGUAUAAAGGAAUUGUGACCGUGAUCCUAAGUCUCACCCCACUGAUGGUCCUGAGAUUUGAGGAGCUCGAGCUGUGCAUGGGAUAAAAAAGGACCAGGAUGCAGCUUUCCUGCUACAGGCCACUGCUCUUUGAUCAUAUCUGUGGUCCAAAUGCUUUGGGGAGUGGGUGACUGCUGCAUUUUAUUAAAGACAUGCAACUGAAAUAAUAAUCGGAUAAAAGGAUCAUUUAUUGUCAAACGAUUAUGGAGCUGCAUUAUGUGAUUUCAUAUCUUUUCCUUCAAAAUCUCUGCAUUUCAAACCAGCUUGUGGCUUUUCUCUGUGCCAUUAACACUUUGGUAUUACACAGGAGUAUAUUUCACAUGGCAAUUCAGUGGGAUAUGGAUUAUGUUGUCAGGAAAUAAAUAAAAUUUUCUCAAGUUGGCCUUGGCUCUGCUGGUGGUAAUCAUGAAAUUGUUUGUCCUUAAGCUAUGGCAGAGGAUUGGAUUCU
Molecule: long non-coding RNA, 997 nt
Organism: Ficedula albicollis (Collared flycatcher)
Lineage: Eukaryota; Metazoa; Chordata; Aves; Passeriformes; Muscicapidae
Exons: 3
Source: RefSeq, a predicted model, not a curated record